ACUAACGUAGAAGAAGAGGACUGUGUGCAGAGGCGAAAAUAAACAAUAGUGAAAAUGUUGAAAUGCAUUUGCUUUUAUUCUCUUAUUUUAGACUUUAAAAAUACCCAACAUGGUUCAAGAGUUUCAUGUACUGAGAUGUUUUCCCUGUCAAACAUUUCAAGUACAGCAGGUGAAGAAGAGUAAGAAAUGGAGCUGUGGCGAGAAGCAGUCACUGAUGAAGGUCAAUCUGAAUCAAGCUAAAUUUGUCAUGACACCCGUCCUCCAAUGAUGACAACUUACCAAUUCCUUUGCCAAAUUAAGCAACUUUUUAGACUACCUUGGCAACUUUUUCUUCCAGAAACUCCUAACAACAAAUUUUGCUAUUUUUACAAUUUAUUUGGCAACUUAUAAGUGAUAAGUGACUCAAAUGAUAAAAAGGAACAUUUACUGCUUAACACCAAAAGAUAAAAAACAUAGUCGUCUAGUAGUUCAUAUCACGUGAAUUAAGUUAGCUGCUAUUUGCAAUUGUUUAUUUUAAUAAUAAUAGUGAUUUUUGUAAAUGAAUACAUUUAUGACACUUUGUUAGUAGCUUGUUCUUGUGAUUGUUGAUUGUUUGGUGCACUGUAAGAAAAAUGGUACUAGUAAUUUUCCAGGACUUUAUCUGUUGUCCAUUAUCUGCUGUAACACAAAAACACAAAAUACAGUGUGUAACCUGAACCUGGAGUAAAUACACUGACCAAACAGCUGAGGGUCCAGAUGGACAUGAAGAAGAGGAAGAAGAUGAGAAUGUUUCUACAGAAAGACACUGAUUCAGAAGCCAGGGAACCAGGAAAAGGAAGAAAAUCUCCUCUUCAAAGUCUCUUGGUGGCCGUGAUGGUAACUGUGAGGACGAGGAGUCAUGGACUGGUUGUUCUGGGUUUAAGAGACGUGAAGGGAAAUGUAUCCAGUCCAAACAUCAGUCACAGCUCAAAGCUAGCCGGUUUUGAAAACGCUGUCUGUAAACAGCCUACACUAUUUAAGAUUAACUCCCUGUUCUUUACUGAUGAAGACUUAGAUGACACAUUUUGAGAAUAAGUUGCAUUUCUAUUCAAAAUUCAAGUUUUAUGAUGUUACCAUAUCCUCUUCAAUAAAUACAAAAAUGCAUUGGUAGUUAAACCAUUCUCCACAGUUCUGAACAUUAAAGAAAAUACAAACUUUAUUUAUUUAUUGCAUUUUAUUGUAGACAGAAAGGACAGGAAUUUUAGAAGACCUACAGUGACAUUAACCUUAUUCCAUCGAUUUAUUCAAACUAACAAUAAAAAUACCCCCAGGUUUCCACUUC
Molecule: long non-coding RNA, 1300 nt
Organism: Carassius auratus (goldfish)
Lineage: Eukaryota; Metazoa; Chordata; Actinopteri; Cypriniformes; Cyprinidae
Exons: 3
Source: RefSeq, a predicted model, not a curated record